RNAcentral lists this unclassified non-coding RNA (336 nucleotides) under soil metagenome. RNAcentral describes it as "partial contains 5.8S ribosomal RNA, internal transcribed spacer 2, and large subunit ribosomal RNA". The stretch from base 1 to 120 matches the Rfam family "5.8S ribosomal RNA", at positions 35 to 154 of the family's 154-position model. The record is from RNAcentral.
GAUGAAGAACGUAGCGAAAUGCGAUAAGUAGUGUGAAUUGCAGAAUUCAGUGAAUCAUCGAAUCUUUGAACGCACAUUGCGCCCCUUGGUAUUCCAUGGGGCAUGCCUGUUCGAGCGUCAUUUGUACCUUCAAGCUUUGCCUGGUGUUGGGUGUUUGUCUCGCCUUUGCGUGUAGACUCGCCUUAAAAUAAUUGGCAGCCGGCGUAUUGAUUUCGGAGCGCAGUACAUCUCGCGCUUUGCACUCAUAACGACAGCGUCCAAAAGUACAUUUUACACUCUUGACCUCGGAUCAGGUAGGGAUACCCGCUGAACUUAAGCAUAUCAAUAAGCGGAGGA